Molecule: ribosomal RNA, 744 nt
Filed under: Microbacterium sp. M49
Lineage: Bacteria; Bacillati; Actinomycetota; Actinomycetes; Micrococcales; Microbacteriaceae
Description: bacterial SSU rRNA
Rfam family: Bacterial small subunit ribosomal RNA
Source: RNAcentral
GACGGCCUUCGGGUUGUAAACCUCUUUUAGCAAGGAAGAAGCGAAAGUGACGGUACUUGCAGAAAAAGCGCCGGCUAACUACGUGCCAGCAGCCGCGGUAAUACGUAGGGCGCAAGCGUUAUCCGGAAUUAUUGGGCGUAAAGAGCUCGUAGGCGGUUUGUCGCGUCUGCUGUGAAAACUGGGGGCUCAACCCCCAGCCUGCAGUGGGUACGGGCAGACUAGAGUGCGGUAGGGGAGAUUGGAAUUCCUGGUGUAGCGGUGGAAUGCGCAGAUAUCAGGAGGAACACCGAUGGCGAAGGCAGAUCUCUGGGCCGUAACUGACGCUGAGGAGCGAAAGGGUGGGGAGCAAACAGGCUUAGAUACCCUGGUAGUCCACCCCGUAAACGUUGGGAACUAGUUGUGGGGUCCAUUCCACGGAUUCCGUGACGCAGCUAACGCAUUAAGUUCCCCGCCUGGGGAGUACGGCCGCAAGGCUAAAACUCAAAGGAAUUGACGGGGACCCGCACAAGCGGCGGAGCAUGCGGAUUAAUUCGAUGCAACGCGAAGAACCUUACCAAGGCUUGACAUACACGAGAACGCUGCAGAAAUGUAGAACUCUUUGGACACUCGUGAACAGGUGGUGCAUGGUUGUCGUCAGCUCGUGUCGUGAGAUGUUGGGUUAAGUCCCGCAACGAGCGCAACCCUCGUUCUAUGUUGCCAGCACGUAAUGGUGGGAACUCAUGGGAUACUGCCGGGGUCAACUCG